Molecule: transfer RNA, 72 nt
Filed under: Camelus bactrianus (Bactrian camel)
Lineage: Eukaryota; Metazoa; Chordata; Mammalia; Artiodactyla; Camelidae
Also listed under: 2 other names
Rfam family: tRNA
About the family: Transfer RNA (tRNA) molecules are approximately 80 nucleotides in length. Their secondary structure includes four short double-helical elements and three loops (D, anti-codon, and T loops).
Source: Rfam by way of RNAcentral
GAGGGUAGAGCUCAGUGGUAGAGCACGUGCUUAGCAUGCAUGGGGUCCUGAGUUCAAUCCCCAGGACCUCCA